CUCCCAGUGUGAGCAGUGGUUCUUCAGGACAGACUAGAGCCAGUAUGAGAGGAGAGCUAACAUGAAGCAGCCCAGACUCCCAGUGUGAGCAGUGGUUCUUCAGGACAGACUAGAGCCAGUAUGAGAGGAGAGCUAACAUGAUGUAGCCCAGACUCCCAGUGUGAGCAGAGGUUCUUCAGGACAGACUAGAGCCAGUAUGAGAGGAGAGCUAACAUGAUGUAUCCCAGACUCCCAGUGUGAGCAGUGGUUCUUCAGGACAGACUAGAGCCAGUAUGAGAGGAGAGCUAACAUGAUGUAGCCCAGACUCCCAGUGUGAGCAGAGGUUCUUCAGGACAGACUAGAGCCAGUAUGAGAGGAGAGCUAACAUGAAGCAGCCCAGACUCCCAGUGUGAGCAGUGGUUCUUCAGGACAGACUAGAGCCAGUAUGAGAGGAGAGCUAACAUGAGGCAGCCCAGACUCCCAGUGUGAGCAGAGGUUCUUCAGGACAGACUAGAGCCAGUAUGAGUGGGGAGCUAACAUGAGGCAGCCCAGACUCCCAGUGUGAGCAGAGGUUCUUCAGGACAGACUAGAGCCAGUAUGAGAGGAGAGCUAACAUGAUGUAGCCCAGACUCCCAGUGUGAGCAGAGGUUCUUCAGGACAGACUAGAGCCAGUAUGAGAGGAGAGCUAACAUGAUGUAGCCCAGACUCCCAGUGUGAGCAGAGGUUCUUCAGGACAGACUUGAGCCAGUAUGAGAGGAGAGCUAACAUGAUGUAGCCCAGACUCCCAGUGUGAGCAGUGGUUCUUCAGGACAGACUAGAGCCAGUAUGAGAGGAGAGCUAACAUGAAGCAGCCCAGACUCCCAGUGUGAGCAGUGGUUCUUCAGGACAGACUAGAGCCAGUAUGAGAGGAGAGCUAACAUGAUGUAGCCCAGACUCCCAGUGUGAGCAGUGGUUCUUCAGGACAGACUAGAGCCAGUAUGAGAGGAGAGCUAACAUGAGGCAGCCCAGACUCCCAGUGUGAGCAGAGGUUCUUCAGGACAGACUAGAGCCAGUAUGAGAGGAGAGCUAACAUGAAGCAGCCCAGACUCCCAGUGUGAGCAGUGGUUCCUCAGGACAGACUAGAGCCAGUAUGAGAGGAGAGCUAACAUGAUGUAGCCCAGACUCCCAGUGUGAGCAGUGGUUCUUCAGGACAGACUAGAGCCAGUAUGAGAGGAGAGCUAACAUGAGGCAGCCCAGACUCCCAGUGUGAGCAGAGGUUCUUCAGGACAGACUAGAGCCAGUAUGAGAGGAGAGCUAACAUGAAGCAGCCCAGACUCCCAGUGUGAGCAGUGGUUCCUCAGGACAGACUAGAGCCAGUAUGAGAGGAGAGCUAACAUGAAGCAGCCCAGACUCCCAGUGUGAGCAGAGGUUCUUCAGGACAGACUAGAGCCAGUAUGAGAGGAGAGCUAACAUGAAGCAGCCCAGACUCCCAGUGUGAGCAGUGGUUCCUCAGGACAGACUAGAGCCAGUAUGAGAGGAGAGCUAACAUGAAGCAGCCCAGACUCCCAGUGUGAGCAGUGGUUCUUCAGGACAGACUAGAGCCAGUGUGAGAGGAGAGCUAACAUGAAGCAGCCCAGACUCCCAGUGUGAGCAGUGGUUCUUCAGGACAGACUUGAGCCAGUGUGAGAGGAGAG
Oncorhynchus keta (chum salmon) is the source of this 1652-nucleotide long non-coding RNA. RefSeq lists it as uncharacterized. The record is from RefSeq and is a predicted model, not a curated record. The transcript is spliced from 3 exons. NCBI's taxonomy places the organism in Eukaryota, Metazoa, Chordata, Actinopteri, Salmoniformes, Salmonidae.